AGAGUUUGAUCCUGGCUCAGAUUGAACGCUGGCGGCAGGCCUAACACAUGCAAGUCGAGCGGCAGCGGGAAAGUAGCUUGCUACUUUUGCCGGCGAGCGGCGGACGGGUGAGUAAUGCCUAGGAAUCUGCCUGGUAGUGGGGGAUAACGUUCGGAAACGGACGCUAAUACCGCAUACGUCCUACGGGAGAAAGCAGGGGACCUUCGGGCCUUGCGCCAUCAGAUGAGCCUAGGUCGGAUUAGCUAGUUGGUGAGGUAAUGGCUCACCAAGGCGACGAUCCGUAACUGGUCUGAGAGGAUGAUCAGCCACACUGGAACUGAGACACGGUCCAGACUCCUACGGGAGGCAGCAGUGGGGAAUAUUGCACAAUGGGGGAAACCCUGAUGCAGCCAUGCCGCGUGUGUGAAGAAGGCCUUCGGGUUGUAAAGCACUUUCAGCGAGGAGGAAAGGUUGGCGCCUAAUACGUGUCAACUGUGACGUUACUCGCAGAAGAAGCACCGGCUAACUCCGUGCCAGCAGCCGCGGUAAUACGGAGGGUGCAAGCGCUAAUCGGAAUUACUGGGCGUAAAGCGCACGCAGGCGGUUGGAUAAGUUAGAUGUGAAAGCCCCGGGCUCAACCUGGGAAUUGCAUUUAAAACUGUCCAGCUAGAGUCUUGUAGAGGGGGGUAGAAUUCCAGGUGUAGCGGUGAAAUGCGUAGAGAUCUGGAGGAAUACCGGUGGCGAAGGCGGCCCCCUGGACAAAGACUGACGCUCAGGUGCGAAAGCG
Molecule: ribosomal RNA, 766 nt
Filed under: uncultured bacterium
Lineage: Bacteria
Description: bacterial SSU rRNA
Rfam family: Bacterial small subunit ribosomal RNA
Source: RNAcentral